GGAGAAGCAGCACUUUGCCCCAUCUCCUCCUGGAUGAGCUACCAACAUCCAGAGCCACGCUGAGACCUCCCCCUGCCAUCUCACACCUCAUUUUGGCUGAGACACCAAAUGCCCCAGCAGGGCCCGUCACACCUUCACCCCAAGAACAGGCACUUCCCUCCCCACAGAGGAGCUUUAUCCCUUUACAAAGCAAUCCUGAGCGAAGCCGAACGUCGAGGAGCAGAGCCGUGCAAAGGCCAGGACGAUCGAUCUCCUCUCCGAGCAGGACAAACACCGCGGCUCCUGGCAAACUGCUCUUACCAGCAUGGGGACAGUUGUCAGACUUACUGCACGUCCUCACAUCCAGAUUAGGAAAAAAUGGCAUUCAGGGCAAGUUUGUAAUACUUCUCUAGGCUUGGCCAUCCCCUUUAGAACACAAAGCAGAAGGUGGACUUGUGAUGUGCAAACUGCUUGCAUCCUACUGAGCCCAGAGAAGAUCCUGGUUUUGCACAGGCAUCUCCUCUGCAUGGCCACCACUUGCUCCUCAGACUUUUCUUCAGCCACCUUCCUGCUCAUCCUCUGCAGCAAGAACCACACCAUAAAAUGUGCUAAAAGAAGGGCGAGCCCGUGACGACCAGAUUAAAUAUUUGUUCUACUCCUGUAGCAUGGUGUAGAAUUGUCCUCCUUGUCCCAUCCACUGGAUUUUCCCUCUAAACGUGCAAUCCCCUUGAAAUCACCAGAUGAGCCAUUUUUCUGUUAUAUUACUUAACAAGAUUGCAGAGAACUCCCCACAGAGCCACGGUGAGCACACUACUUGCUAAAGGACAGAACAGUCUCAAACAAGGAGGAACUUGUAUGGGAAGUAAAAAAUAUGACAUAAUUAUCAUGUAAAUUAUAGUGGCGGUUUUAAAUCCCCCACCAGCAAGACAUGAGGUUACACCACAUGUUUCCACGGCCAAGGGAGAAUUGCUUUCUUGCCUGGAGACAAGAGAAUAAUAUUAGAACAACCAAAACCAAGAACAACUCCCUCCAAGCCUCCGAAAGGAAAAGCAGAAACCCACCACACCAACAAAGCAAAUCCCUGUCUUUGGUGCAAUAAAUACUGGCCCUCUCUGGCUAUUGCCCACGUAGAGCUUUCUGUAUUGAUGUGCAGAGCUGCAGAUCCUGCGGUGCAACAUUUGUUGUGAAAAAUUAAGGUAGCAACAGCAGCAAAGUCAAAGAAAAACUUCAGUGAAAUACCAAAGAAAUGGAAGAAAACAACAACAAAAAAAAAUCCCUUUAUUCUGCUUCAAGCCUGUUUAGGCCGUGUUAUCCAAUCUCUUCUCCUGUGUUCUCUGAAACAAGGGUGUCAAUGAAAGAAUUAGCACUUAAAUAAAUACUAAUAUUGAAAGUCCUUUGAAAUGAGCUAUUAUUCCUAUUGAAAUCAUUCUUACAUAUGAUGCAUGGAAAGUGCCACUUGCUGGCAUUUCUGCUGAAUCAGAAGUCACAGCCUGUUCUUAGGGGUGCUAAAUUCUUCUGGGUACAACACAGGAAAAUGCACUACUGCUCCAGAUCGGCCUUCCAC
Anas platyrhynchos (mallard) is the source of this 1543-nucleotide non-coding RNA. Lineage: Eukaryota; Metazoa; Chordata; Aves; Anseriformes; Anatidae. The record is from RefSeq and is a predicted model, not a curated record.